This 207-nucleotide ribosomal RNA is filed under the name uncultured bacterium. Its description in RNAcentral is "partial 16S ribosomal RNA". It matches the Rfam family "Bacterial small subunit ribosomal RNA", at positions 568 to 774 of the family's 1533-position model. The record is from RNAcentral.
CGCGUAGGCGGCGUCGCAAGUCCGUGGUGAAAUCUCCAGGCUCAACUUGGAGUCUGCCGCGGAAACUGCGGUGCUUGAGUGUGGGAGAGGUGCGUGGAAUUCCCGGUGCAGCGGUGAAAUGCGUAGAUAUCGGGAGGAACACCUGUGGCGAAAGCGGCGCACUGGACCACAACUGACGCUGAGGCGCGAAAGCUAGGGGAGCAAACA